AACNAAAGUNNGUGNAAACCGCUCAAAGUAAACGGGAAGAGUUGAACUGCAAGCCUGUAAGAUUCAGCUGGUUCGGUUGUUUGGCUGGCAUUGUGGUCCACGCAAAUGGUGGGUUACUGCUCCUUGUGGGUGGUGACGAGUGUGUACUANCAUAGUGCAACUCGCUGCUUUGUUGGUGCUGCCGGGUCAGUGCACUUCUUUCAGGUCUUCAUCACGACCGGCGCUGCUGUCUGUCUGCUGUGGCUAAACCAGUGGGGCUCGGUCCUUGUGGCCUUGUUCUGCUGGGAUGGCAGGUANCUUGUUGGCAUUCGUGCUUUCAGGUGUAAUAACUANCUUCANUGUGAACUGUGC
Molecule: ribosomal RNA, 351 nt
Filed under: Brachyphallus crenatus
Lineage: Eukaryota; Metazoa; Platyhelminthes; Trematoda; Azygiida; Hemiuridae
Description: partial 28S ribosomal RNA
Source: RNAcentral